ACACAGACUCCAACUGAAGGAAUCAGUGUCAUUUACUGCAGCUCAAAGCAGCAAAGAAUCACAAAAGGUGCAGCUCAGCAAUGCACCCAAUCAUCACCACCAAAGAUUGCAGCAGUGAAUAAGAAAGAUCCAGCAUCAUUUACCCUCAGACUUCACCAUCCCCCAGAUCCACACAGCAGCAGGGGAAGCUGUCCCAGCCAAGGGCUGCAGAGCCACUCCUGGACACUGGGAAUUCCUGCAGGUGCCUCCAGCCACAGAGAAAUGGAUCAUACACCCUGUACAUAUUACCCAGUCACAGAAAGAGUCACUGCUAUAAUUAUUAGCUUUUCCCUGCGUGGAAACACGUUCCUAGGGCAUGCCUGGCUGAACCUCAUCAAGAAUUACAAUUUUAUCGGGCUGAGAUAAAGCUCAGUGGAAAUGCAGCCCUCGGUGAGCGUGGCAGGGAGCUCCAGGACAGGACACCUGGGCACCGGACCAUGAAAGCCUGAGAGGGAACAGCCAGCAAAUUACUGCCUCUGCAGGAAGUCUGGAAUGUUUCAUUCUAUUUCUUUCACAUAUUAAUGUUGCAUUGACAGCUGCUCAAGCUUAAAACAUCUUUAACUGAAAGGUUAAAUGAGAGACAUGGGAAGAUCCCAAAGAAAAGGUUCAUCUCUCUUUAUAGUUAUGUCAUAUGGAUUUGUGUUACCCAGUGGCAAGUCUUUCUAGAUGCAAUUUAUUCACAGUGAGUACUUGAAGCUUCUUGUAUCCCUUACUUCCUUUUAUUUGUGCAAGGCUGUUCAAUACAACAUCUGCAUCCAUGCUUCCUAAUAGCUUCAUCUGUGGAUCUCUGUAAGUGGGGUUUUUUUGCAUUGUAAGAUGUACACAAAAGGUUUGUUGUUGAUUACACAUAUAAUUUCUUACAAGUCAACACUGCUGUUGUAAAGAGGUUCUAUAGCAAAACAUAUUUUGAACUGUUUUUUUCAGGCACCAACUUUCCUUUCAGUUUAAGACAUGGUUUUAAUUAUAAAUAAAAUUAAAUUAAAUUUUGAUUAUAAUGUAUAAAA
This is a long non-coding RNA of Passer domesticus (house sparrow), 1043 nucleotides long. RefSeq lists it as uncharacterized. The record is from RefSeq and is a predicted model, not a curated record. NCBI's taxonomy places the organism in Eukaryota, Metazoa, Chordata, Aves, Passeriformes, Passeridae. The transcript is spliced from 3 exons.